Molecule: ribosomal RNA, 466 nt
Filed under: uncultured bacterium
Lineage: Bacteria
Description: partial 16S ribosomal RNA
Rfam family: Bacterial small subunit ribosomal RNA
Source: RNAcentral
GACGAACGCUGGCGGCGUGCUUAACACAUGCAAGUCGAACGGAAAGGCCCUGCUUUUGUGGGGUGCUCGAGUGGCGAACGGGUGAGUAACACGUGAGUAACCUGCCCUUGACUUUGGGAUAACUUCAGGAAACUGGGGCUAAUACCGGAUAGGAGCUCCUGCUGCAUGGUGGGGGUUGGAAAGUUUCGGCGGUUGGGGAUGGACUCGCGGCUUAUCAGCUUGUUGGUGGGGUAGUGGCUUACCAAGGCUUUGACGGGUAGCCGGCCUGAGAGGGUGACCGGCCACAUGGGGACUGAGAUACGGCCCAGACUCCUACGGGAGGCAGCAGUGGGGAAUAUUGCACAAUGGGCGGAAGCCUGAUGCAGCAACGCCGCGUGCGGGAUGACGGCCUUCGGGUUGUAAACCGCUUUCGCCUGGGACGAAGCGUGAGUGACGGUAAUGGGUAAAGAAGCACCGGCUAACUACG